GAUGAACGCUGGCGGCGUGCUUAACACAUGCAAGUCGAACGAAGUGGAGAUCUUCGGAUUGAAACUUAGUGGCGGACGGGUGAGUAACGCGUGGGUAACCUGCCUCGUACAGGGGGAUAACAGUUAGAAAUGACUGCUAAUACCGCAUAACCCGCUAAGGUCGCAUGACCUGGACGGAAAAGAUUUAUCGGUACGAGAUGGACCCGCGUCUGAUUAGCUAGUUGGUGGGGUAACGGCCCACCAAGGCGACGAUCAGUAGCCGGUCUGAGAGGAUGAACGGCCACAUUGGGACUGAGAUACGGCCCAGACUCCUACGGGAGGCAGCAGUGGGGAAUAUUGGGCAAUGGGCGCAAGCCUGACCCAGCAACGCCGCGUGAAGGAAGAAGGCUUUCGGGUUGUAAACUUCUUUUGUCGAGGAAGAGUAGAAGACUGUACUCGGCGAAUAAGCCACGGCUAACUACGUG
This 464-nucleotide ribosomal RNA is filed under the name uncultured bacterium. Its description in RNAcentral is "bacterial SSU rRNA". It matches the Rfam family "Bacterial small subunit ribosomal RNA", at positions 28 to 507 of the family's 1533-position model. The record is from RNAcentral.